Molecule: long non-coding RNA, 666 nt
Filed under: Brassica rapa (field mustard)
Lineage: Eukaryota; Viridiplantae; Streptophyta; Magnoliopsida; Brassicales; Brassicaceae
Description: long non-coding RNA (BRAP_LNC000386)
Source: RNAcentral
GUCGAAACGGGCCGCUAGGGGGGAGAGAAAUAAAUCGGUGACGAAUUUGGCCUUAUGACCCGUAAUGUUCUGGGCCGUGACCCAUGAAACUCUUGAAAGUGACCCAGACGAAACGACCCUAAGACUUAGCGACCCAAGCGGCCCAGAAGUUUCCGCACGUGUGAGUUCGAGAUUUAUUUAUUUUAUUUUUUUGGGUGACCGGUAGCAAAGGUUAAAGGUAAUAUUAACCAUUCCUUUUCCCGCCGUUCACUGUUUUCUGAUAUUUGUGGUAAUAUUAAUUAAACUAAUAUGUUAUAAAACGCUAACUGGGUAAUGGUGAGAAGCAACUAAGAACUGGUGUACAACUAAAAGAAGCAACCCUACGAUAAGAAGAUAUUCCCAUCCUCUGAGGCCGUCGAUGCUUAUCCACCAUAACUGAAAAGGAUGGAAACAAUUAGCGGUGGUCGGAACGUCGGGUCAAGUAGUGGUGGCACAGGUAGUAAGGAAAUCAGGACCAACGCCGGCGAAGGUACAGAGUUUGAGCUCGAAGUUUCUGUAUUUGUUUUUACAAUUGUGUGCUUCCUCUAUUUGGCAAAUGACACUAACGGGUGCUCAUGCUUGGACCGUAGGUCUGUGUAAUUCUUGCAUUGUGGUUAUGGCUGGGAGGUGGAUAAUGUUUGACGAUGG